Molecule: long non-coding RNA, 986 nt
Organism: Strongylocentrotus purpuratus (purple sea urchin)
Lineage: Eukaryota; Metazoa; Echinodermata; Echinoidea; Camarodonta; Strongylocentrotidae
Exons: 3
Source: RefSeq, a predicted model, not a curated record
GAAGCAUGUCUUGUGUGUUAACGUGCCCCUCCCCUGUUUGCUCAAGGAGAUGAUUUGAUUUUCCCGGUAUAGAACCCAUUGCACUAUUUGUGUAAGAGUAGGGGAAAACCCCGGUGUUGUCUUUCCUUUCCGAAACUUGAUUGGUCAGUUAUCGUCAGCAAUCAUGUUUGUCUCUACCAAUCAAACGCUUCCAUUGUAUCCACGUGAUCCAAUGAUCCACAUCAGGUUGCACUUCUUUAAUUACAUGGAGAUGAAUGUUUGCUCUCUAGGUUGUAAGUGCAAGAUGGGUUUCCGGAGUAGCAGGAAUUGAAAUCAUUUUUAACAAGUUAUAUGUCCGCAGACAAAAGUGGAAGAGCUGCUUAUAGGCCUAUGUUGCAAGGAGAUUGAUAUCUUGUUCAUUAUAUAUGGUUCCAGCUUGCAAAACUCAAGGACUGUAAAAGAACGCAAGCUUCUCGUAGGCCUCAUUGUAUCAUCAUGGCAGAAACGAUGACAGGAGUCGUAAUCGCAUUGACAGUUCUCUGUAGUACCAUCCUUGCAUUUGUCGUUUUCAUCAUUACCUUGUUGGUGUGUAUGAAGGCGAAAAGGUAUCGUAACCUCGAUGAGGAAGCUGACGACGAGCACGAAACCAAACAUAAAAAUACGAGUUCGAAAAGCCCAGCAACACGACGGGAAGCCUGGAGAGGGAACUCUGAUGAACGAGGAGACCCCCGUUUUGCCAUGGCGCGGGAGAAAACUCUCAUUAAAGUUGUGCUACGAGAUCAGAUAGAAUCUGAUACACAUUCACAAAGGUGGUACCUUGAUGACGAGUUACCAAAUGUCGUAGCAUGAUUCAGCGAACAAUUAAGUACUUUCAAUAUUCUAAGCACAAGAGACCAGUCAAACUUGGCUUUUCCUUGGCAAUUUGACAUUUUGAGUGUCCGUGAGGGAGGGGUUGACUGCUACCUCUUGAUGCUUCGACACCGAACAAUGUUUUGAAAUUAUUAUGA